Molecule: ribosomal RNA, 253 nt
Filed under: uncultured bacterium
Lineage: Bacteria
Description: partial 16S ribosomal RNA
Rfam family: Bacterial small subunit ribosomal RNA
Source: RNAcentral
UACGUAGGGGGCAAGCGUUGUCCGGAUUUAUUGGGCGUAAAGAGCGUGUAGGCGGCCUUGCAAGUCCGUUGUGAAAACUCGAGGCUCAACCUCGAGACGCCGGUGGAAACUGCAAAGCUAGAGUCCGGAAGAGGAGAGUGGAAUUCCUGGUGUAGCGGUGAAAUGCGCAGAUAUCAGGAGGAACACCGAUGGCGAAGGCAGGUCUCUGGGCUGACACUGACGCUCAUGCACGAAAGCGUGGGGAGCAAACAGG